UAUAAUUUAGUAUAUAAUGUACUUAGGUUUUUGAAGCCUAAAGAAAUAGUUUAAUUCUGUUAAUUAUAA
RNAcentral lists this transfer RNA (69 nucleotides) under Anomala corpulenta. Its description in RNAcentral is "tRNA-Gln". It matches the Rfam family "tRNA". Rfam says of the family: Transfer RNA (tRNA) molecules are approximately 80 nucleotides in length. The record is from RNAcentral. Lineage: Eukaryota; Metazoa; Arthropoda; Insecta; Coleoptera; Scarabaeidae. RNAcentral also lists the same sequence under 1 other name.